UACGAAGGGGGCUAGCGUUGCUCGGAAUCACUGGGCGUAAAGGGUGCGUAGGCGGGUCUUUAAGUCAGAGGUGAAAUCCUGGAGCUCAACUCCAGAACUGCCUUUGAUACUGAAGAUCUUGAGUUCGGGAGAGGUGAGUGGAACUGCGAGUGUAGAGGUGAAAUUCGUAGAUAUUCGCAAGAACACCAGUGGCGGAGGCGGCUCACUGGCCCGAUACUGACGCUGAGGCACGAAAGCGUGGGGAGCAAACAGG
RNAcentral lists this ribosomal RNA (253 nucleotides) under uncultured bacterium. RNAcentral's name for it is "partial 16S ribosomal RNA". It matches the Rfam family "Bacterial small subunit ribosomal RNA", at positions 524 to 776 of the family's 1533-position model. The record is from RNAcentral.